RNAcentral lists this ribosomal RNA (497 nucleotides) under uncultured bacterium. Its description in RNAcentral is "partial 16S ribosomal RNA". It matches the Rfam family "Bacterial small subunit ribosomal RNA", at positions 28 to 507 of the family's 1533-position model. The record is from RNAcentral.
GAUGAACGCUGGCGGCGUGCCUAAUACAUGCAAGUCGAGCGAACGGACGAGAAGCUUGCUUCUCUGAUGUUAGCGGCGGACGGGUGAGUAACACGUGGAUAACCUACCUAUAAGACUGGGAUAACUUCGGGAAACCGUAGCUAAGACCGGAUAAUAUUUUGAACCGCAUGGUUCAAAAGUGAAAGACGGUCUUGCUGUCACUUAUAGAUGGAUCCGCGCUGCAUUAGCUAGUUGGUAAGGUAACGGCUUACCAAGGCAACGAUGCAUAGCCGACCUGAGAGGGUGAUCGGCCACACUGGAACUGAGACACGGUCCAGACACCUACGGGAGGCAGCAGUAGGGACUCUUCCGCAAUGGGCGAAAGCCUGACGGAGCAACGCGGCGUGAGUGAUGAAGGUCUUAGGCUCGUAAAACUCUGUUAUUAGGGAAGAACAUAUGUGUAAGUAACUGUGCACAUCUUGACGGUACCUAAUCAGAAAGCCACGGCUAACUACGUG